UACGAAGGGGGCUAGCGUUGCUCGGAAUCACUGGGCGUAAAGCGCGCGUAGGCGGAUUGUUAAGUCAGGGGUGAAAUCCCGGGGCUCAACCCCGGAACUGCCCUUGAAACUGCAGUGCUAGAAUCUUGGAGAGGCGAGUGGAAUUCCGAGUGUAGAGGUGAAAUUCGUAGAUAUUCGGAAGAACACCAGUGGCGAAGGCGACUCGCUGGACAAGUAUUGACGCUGAGGUGCGAAAGCGUGGGGAGCAAACAGG
RNAcentral lists this ribosomal RNA (253 nucleotides) under uncultured bacterium. Its description in RNAcentral is "partial 16S ribosomal RNA". It matches the Rfam family "Bacterial small subunit ribosomal RNA", at positions 524 to 776 of the family's 1533-position model. The record is from RNAcentral.